This is a long non-coding RNA of Acanthochromis polyacanthus (spiny chromis), 1654 nucleotides long. RefSeq lists it as uncharacterized. The transcript has 7 exons. NCBI's taxonomy places the organism in Eukaryota, Metazoa, Chordata, Actinopteri, Pomacentridae. The record is from RefSeq and is a predicted model, not a curated record.
AACCGGUACUUGCAGUCGGCUGGAAGAAGAGAGAAACGAGGCAGAAGAUAAGUCAACACCUUCAGAGCAGCUUUCAUUGUAUCUUGAUUGGCUGGAUGAGAACUGGAACCCAGAAGGUCUUUUCUCUAGUUUGGAUACACCGACUCACUCAUGCGUUCUUCUUUAAUUUUGUGUUUUUCUGCAGUGUAGAACAACACUGGAGACUUUCAAACUGAAACAAUACAAAUAUGGUUCAUAUUUUAGAUUCCUGAGUGCAUUCCCUGUUUGCCUUGACGACAGUUCUGCCUGAGUUCUGCUAACAUCUCAGCCAUCUUCAGGAGGCCAUCUCUAACAUCUCAACCAUCUUCAGGAGGUCAUCUCUAACAUCUCAGCCAUCUUCAGGAGGCCAUCUCUAACAUCUCAACCAUCUUCAGGAGGCCAUCUCUAACAUCUCAACCAUCUUCAGGAGGUCAUCUCUAACAUCUCAACCAGCUUCAGGAGGUCAUCUCUAACAUCUCAACCAGCUUCAGGAGGUCAUCUCUAACAUCUCAACCAUCUUCAGGAGGUCAUCUCUAACAUCUCAACCAGCUUCAGGAGGUCAUCUCUAACAUCUCAACCAGCUUCAGGAGGCCAUCUCUAACAUCUCAGCCAUCUUCAGGAGGUCAUCUCUAACAUCUCAACCAGCUUCAGGAGGCCAUCUCUAACAUCUCAACCAGCUUCAGGAGGCCAUCUCUAACAUCUCAACCAUCUUCAGGAGGCCAUCUCUAACAUCUCAACCAGCUUCAGGAGGUCAUCUCUAACAUCUCAACCAUCUUCAGGAGGCCAUCUCUAACAUCUCAACCAGCUUCAGGAGGCCAUCUCUAACAUCUCAGCCAGCUUCAGGAGGCCAUCUCUAACAUCUCAACCAUCUUCAGGAGGUCAUCUCUAACAUCUCAACCAGCUUCAGGAGGCCAUCUCUAACAUCUCAACCAUCUUCAGGAGGCCAUCUCUAACAUCUCAACCAUCUUCAGGAGGCCAUCUCUAACAUCUCAACCAUCUUCAGGAGGCCAUCUCUAACAUCUCAACCAGCUUCAGGAGGCCAUCUCUAACAUCUCAACCAUCUUCAGGAGGCCAUCUCUAACAUCUCAACCAGCUUCAGGAGGCCAUCUCUAACAUCUCAACCAUCUUCAGGAGGCCAUCUCUAACAUCUCAACCAGCUUCAGGAGGCCAUCUCUAACAUCUCAACCAGCUUCAGGAGGCCAUCUCUAACAUCUCAACCAUCUUCAGGAGGCCAUCUCUAACAUCUCAACCAGCUUCAGGAGGCCAUCUCUAACAUCUCAACCAGCUUCAGGAGGCCAUCUCUAACAUCUCAACCAGCUUCAGGAGGCCAUCUCUAACGUCUCAACCAGCUUCAGGAGGUCUUCUCUUGGAAUGAUACCUAAACAAUUAUCAAGUUCUAUUAUCAGAACAGAAGCAGGUGGAUCCACAAAGAACUUUUUAAAGAAGUAAUCCAUCACUGCCAGAAACUGUACAGUUAAAGAGAAACAUCAGAUCAUUAAUACUUCAGCCUUUGAAUCUUUAGAUGAUGUCUUUUUAGACAUUUUUCCUUUGUAAUGGUCAACACAUAUUCAAACUGAUAAUCGUAGUUUCACCAGAAACACACCAGCUUGUAUUUAAAGCUUCAUUCUCAGUGUUU